AAUUAGAAAGCGAACAUUUGCACCUAGUUUCGGCCUAGGCUUUGGUUUAUUAUUACCUCUAAUUU
RNAcentral lists this transfer RNA (65 nucleotides) under Ranina ranina. RNAcentral's name for it is "tRNA-Arg". The record is from RNAcentral. Lineage: Eukaryota; Metazoa; Arthropoda; Malacostraca; Decapoda; Raninidae.